CAACAGGGAUUGCCCUAGUAACGGCGAGUGAAGCGGCAACAGCUCAAAUUUGAAAUCUGGCCUCGGCCCGAGUUGUAAUUUGCAGAGGAUGCUUCUGGCGCGGUGCCUUCCGAGUUCCCUGGAACGGGACGCCACAGAGGGUGAGAGCCCCGUAUGGUCGGACACCAAGCCUGUGUGAAGCUCCUUCGACGAGUCGAGUAGUUUGGGAAUGCUGCUCUAAAUGGGAGGUAAAUCUCUUCUAAAGCUAAAUACCGGCCAGAGACCGAUAGCGCACAAGUAGAGUGAUCGAAAGAUGAAAAGCACCUUGAAAAGGGGGUUAAAUAGUACGUGAAAUUGUUGAAAGGGAAGCACUUGUGACCAGACUUGGGCCGGGCGGCUCAUCAGGGGUUCUCCCCUGUGCACUCCGCCCGGCACAGGCCAGCAUCGGUUCUCGCGGGGGGAUAAGACCGCCGGGAACGUAGCACCCUCCGGGGUGUGUUAUAGCCCGGCGGACGAUACCCCCGCGGGGACCGAGGUCCGCGCUCCGCAAGGAUGCUG
Molecule: ribosomal RNA, 537 nt
Filed under: Diaporthe phaseolorum var. meridionalis
Lineage: Eukaryota; Fungi; Ascomycota; Sordariomycetes; Diaporthales; Diaporthaceae
Description: eukaryotic LSU rRNA
Rfam family: Eukaryotic large subunit ribosomal RNA
Source: RNAcentral